AGAAAGCACGUGAAGUAUACUGUUCAAUCAUCCAACGGUUGCCGACACGAGUGAAAGAAUAGUACAUCUACAUGUGUUAAAGAACUUCCUAUAACUGUCCAUCUUCACCCUCCAUAACAAGGCAGACAUACAGAACCUUUCUUCAUCUCUGAGAAUGCCUUCCCAACGAAGCCUCUUGAGUUACCCAGUGUUCCUUAUUCCUUGGGGUACCUCUACAAGCCAAUGACUCCAAAGCAAAAGUAUCUCAUAUCACCAAGGUAGAAAGCAAGAGUAUCUCAUAUCAUGCGUUCUCCCUGUCCUUUCCUUUGUCCUUGUUCUU
This 319-nucleotide long non-coding RNA is filed under the name Malus domestica (apple). RNAcentral's name for it is "long non-coding RNA (MDOM_LNC003582)". Lineage: Eukaryota; Viridiplantae; Streptophyta; Magnoliopsida; Rosales; Rosaceae. The record is from RNAcentral.